RNAcentral lists this unclassified non-coding RNA (390 nucleotides) under soil metagenome. Its description in RNAcentral is "partial contains 5.8S ribosomal RNA, internal transcribed spacer 2, and large subunit ribosomal RNA". The stretch from base 1 to 122 matches the Rfam family "5.8S ribosomal RNA", at positions 35 to 154 of the family's 154-position model. The record is from RNAcentral.
GAUGAAGAACGCAGCGAAAUGCGAUACUUGGUGUGAAUUGCAGAAUCCCGUGAACCAUCGAGUCUUUGAACGCAAGUUGCGCCCGAAGCCAUUAGGCCGAGGGCACGCCUGCCUGGGUGUCACACGUCGUUGCCCCCCCAUCUACUCCUUCGGGAUUGCGGGGGGCGGGUGAUGGCCUCCCGUGCGCCUCGUCGCGCGGUUGGCAUAAAUGCCAAGUCCUCGGCGACGCACGCCACGACAAUCGGUGGUUGCGAAACCUCGGUUGCCCGUCGUGUGCGGUCGUCGCGCAUCGAGGGCUCGAAAAAAUUGCCGGGCUCCGGCUCGGCUUUCAACGCGACCCCAGGUCAGGCGGGGUUACCCGCUGAAUUUAAGCAUAUCAAUAAGCGGAGG